RNAcentral lists this long non-coding RNA (2851 nucleotides) under Homo sapiens (human). RNAcentral's name for it is "HSALNT0252206". Lineage: Eukaryota; Metazoa; Chordata; Mammalia; Primates; Hominidae. The record is from RNAcentral.
GAAAAACAUGAAAAGACUAGACUGGCCUAGCUUCCCAGCCUACAUCUUUCUCCCAUGCUGGAUGCUUCCUGCCCUUGAACGUCAGACUCCAAGUUCUUCAGUUUUGGGACUCGGACUGGCUCUCCUUUCUCCUCAGCUUGCAGACGGCCUGUUGUGGGACCUUGUGAUUGGGCCCAAGGGAGCUUGUUCGCCUCUUCUAUCAUGUGAGAACACAGCUCAAAGAUGCCAUCUAUGAACAAGAAAGUGGGCCCCCACCAGACACCAAAUCUGCCAGCACCUUGAUCUUGGACUUCCCAGCCUCUAGAAUGGUGAGAACUAAAUUUUUGCUGUUUAUAAGCUACCCAGUUUAUGGUACUUUGUUACUGCAGACCAAAUGAACUAAGACACUCCUCAAAAACCAUAUUCACAAAUGAAUUUUGCCUCAGGCUCAGUUUAUAGAAACUCAGGCUAAGAUAACUAUUCCUGUGGAGCAGAGUCAGAAUUUUAUAUUGCUAUAAAAGAUAAACAGUGCUUUCUCAGGACAGCUUGAGACUCCUGUAACCCAAUUUACCCAGUCAGUCUGUCAAUCAUCCUCCUCAGUCCCUGAUGGGAUUGAUGUGAUCUGCCUGUACUUCUGCCAGAAGAAAAUUCAAUACUUUCUGGGAGAUCAUAAAAACACCCUAAACCUCUUCAAUUUACAUACCAUGUGUAGACAGUUUUUAAUCCAAAAUUAUCAGGUCUGUCAGAUCACAAAACCAAAUAACCAAAGCCAAGAGAAAAAGCAGACAGAAGAAACAGACCUAUAGGUGAUCCAAAUAUUGGAAUUAUCAUACAUGGACUUUAAAGUUUCCAUUUGAAAAUCUGUUUUCUUGAUAUAGAUUUUCUAUAUAUUCAAGAAAAUAGAUUUUCAAAUGGGAACUUUCAUCAGAAAACUGGAAUCUAUGUUUUUAAAAAGCAUGAAGUAAAAUCUCAGAACUAAAAACUGAAACAACUGAAAUUAAAAGUUUAAUGCAAGAAGUUUAUAAAACAAUAGCAAUGGCAGAAGAGAGUUAGUGUAGUGGAAAAUAGGUCAGGAGAAAAGUAUCAAUUCUGAAGCACAGGAUUAAAAGGAUUAAAAAAACACAGAAAAGAGCAUACUUGACACAUGGGACAUGGUGAAAAGGUUUAAUACAUGUCAUGAAAGUCUCAGAGAGACAGAAAAGAGAGAAGGGGGCACAUGAAAUAUUUGAUGAGUUACUGUCUGAAAUCUUUCAAAAAAUGAAAAAACAUUAAGCUACAGGUUUGAAAAUCUCUAAAAACUCCAAGUAGGAUAAAUUCAAAGAAAACCAUACCUUGAGCACUUUAAAGGUGGCUGGUACAACUAAGGAAAUGAGGUUUUAAUUGUAUUUUAUUUAAAUUAAUUUAGAUUUAAAUAGUCAUAUACAGCUAGUAGCUACUUACUGGACUGUGAAAGCCUAGGACAGUUGCUAAAAGAACAAAGGAAGGGGCUGGGCACGGUGUCUCACGCCUGUAAUCACAACACUUUGGGAGGCCGAGGCGGGGGGAUCACGAGGUCAGGAGCUCAAGACCAGCCUGGCCAACAUGGUGAAACCCCGUCUCUACUAAAAAUACAAAAAUUAGCCGAGCACGGUGCCAGGCGCCUGUAAUCCCAGCCAUUCAGGAGGCUGAGGCAGGAGAAUCUCUUGAAACCGUAAGGCGGAGGUUGCAGUGAGCCGAAAUUGCGCCACUGCACUCCAGCCUGGACGAAAGAGCAAAACUCCAUCUCAAAAAAAAGAAAAAAAGAGUAAAGGAAGGAUAUAGAACAAAGAAAACUCAAGCUGGAGAAAUAUAAGCACUAAAGUUUCUAAUGAUAUUCAUGUCCAAGUUGAGUCAUACACAGCAUAUAUUGUUGACAUCUUUUAUAAGAGCCAGGUCUUAUGGUUUUUUUAGGUUUCUGGUCUGUAUCCUCUUUAGUGACCAUUGCCCAGUAUUGAAUAGCUACAGAAAAUUCACAGCUUAGCUCUGACCAGCUUUUAGGGGACAUGCCUUCCCCAUAGAAAAGACACCAUUUCUGAAUAAUCACAUUUGCAAACCUGGAUUUACCUCGAUCUAAUCGUGAUUUUGUCCUUCUUCCUCCAGCCCUGAGGCUUGAAGUGUAGUCUGCCGUGUCCCCAAAUCCACCCAAGAUUGAUGCUUCUAAUCCAGGGUGCAAACACCUUCUACAGUUGCCCUAGCAAAGCCCCAAGAGUUAGGACUAUACCCUUAGAGCUUCCUGAGUGCUUUCAGGAAAAUUCACAAGGAAUGCCAAUCUGCAGAAACAAUUAAUUUUGUCAAAAUCUUCCAAUAUGAGUCCAUCCAUUUUCUCUAACCCAGAGGACAGAACAGUCUCUCCAUUCUGAAUAAAAGAGGCCUGAUUUAGAUGUUCCUCCAGGUCAAGAGAAGCUGGACUUACUUUCUUCCAAAAAAGGUGGAAGAGGAAGAGAACUAACAACGGUGUUUAAUCUUCUGUGUCCUUGGUAUGUCAUCACAUGACAUACAGGUAUCCACAGCUCAAGGAGUUUUCACUUCUGUUCUCUACACCUCUAGAAAGUUAUAGCAAAGCAAGGAAAAGCAGGACAGGGGCACUGAAAUGAACAGAGAUAGAGGAAUUUUGUAGGAGAGUUUUCAGAGGUAAAGACUUGAGAGGCUUAUACUUGAAGUUUGCAAAUCCAUGAAAAUUAUGAUUAAUUUUGAAAAUCAAGGACUGUUUGUUUGUUUUACCAAAUUUCAGGCUAUCAGAUGCAGAGAGUAAAAAGAAUGUAGUUUGGGGCAAAUAAGAGUGAGUCCUCUUGCAUUAAAAUGAGUCCAUUGAUUACUAUUUUUUAAAAAUUCUAGGCCGGGCAUGGUGGCCCAC